GUAGUACGCUGACGGAGGAGCUUGCUUCUCUGGAUGAGUUUGCGAACCGGGUGAGUCACGCGUAGGUCACCUGCCUGGUAGUCGGGGGAUAACUUAUUGGUAAACCGAUAGCGUAAUACCGCAUAAGAGUAGAUGUUGCAUGUACAUUUGCUUAAAAGGUGCAAUCUGCAUCACUACCAGAUGGACCUGCGUUGUAUUAGCUAGUUGGUGGGGUAACGGCUCACCAAAGCGACGAUACAUAGCCGACCUGGGAGGGUGAUCGGCCACACUGGGACUGAGACACGGCCCAGACUCCUACGGGAGGCAGCAGUAGGGAAUCUUCGGCAAUGGACGGAAGUCUGACCGAGCAACGCCGCGUGAGUGAAGAAGGUUUUCGGACUCGUAAAGCUCUGUUGUAAGAGAAGAUACGAGUGUGAGAGUGGAAAGUUCACAACAUGUGACGGUAUCUUACCA
This 453-nucleotide ribosomal RNA is filed under the name Streptococcus mitis. Its description in RNAcentral is "bacterial SSU rRNA". It matches the Rfam family "Bacterial small subunit ribosomal RNA", at positions 61 to 485 of the family's 1533-position model. Lineage: Bacteria; Bacillati; Bacillota; Bacilli; Lactobacillales; Streptococcaceae. The record is from RNAcentral.